CCUGCGGGUGGCAGCAGUGGGGAAUAUUGGACAAUGGGCGAAAGCCUGAUCCAGCCAUGCCGCGUGUGUGAAGAAGGCCUUCGGGUUGUAAAGCACUUUCAGUGGGGAAGAAAGCCUUGGGGCUAAUACCCUCGAGGAAGGACAUCACCCACAGAAGAAGCACCGGCUAACUCCGUGCCAGCAGCCGCGGUAAUACGGAGGGUGCGAGCGUUAAUCGGAAUUACUGGGCGUAAAGCGCGCGUAGGCGGUCUGAUAAGCCGGUUGUGAAAGCCCCGGGCUCAACCUGGGAACGGCAUCCGGAACUGUCAGGCUAGAGUGCAGGAGAGGAAGGUAGAAUUCCCGGUGUAGCGGUGAAAUGCGUAGAGAUCGGGAGGAAUACCAGUGGCGAAGGCGGCCUUCUGGACUGACACUGACGCUGAGGUGCGAAAGCGUGGGUAGCAAACAGGAUUAGAUACCCUAGUAGUC
Molecule: ribosomal RNA, 465 nt
Filed under: Vreelandella stevensii
Lineage: Bacteria; Pseudomonadati; Pseudomonadota; Gammaproteobacteria; Oceanospirillales; Halomonadaceae
Description: partial 16S ribosomal RNA
Rfam family: Bacterial small subunit ribosomal RNA
Source: RNAcentral